Molecule: ribosomal RNA, 607 nt
Filed under: uncultured bacterium
Lineage: Bacteria
Description: bacterial SSU rRNA
Rfam family: Bacterial small subunit ribosomal RNA
Source: RNAcentral
ACGCUUCUUUUCUACCGAGUGCUUGCACUCACUUGAAAAGAGGAACGCGGACGGGUGAGUAACACGUGGGUAACCUGCCCAUCAGAGGGGGAUAACACUUGGAAACAGGUGCUAAUACCGCAUAAUAGUCGACACCGCAUGGUGUCGAUUUGAAAGACGCUUUCGGGUGUCACUGAUGGAUGGACCCGCGGUGCAUUAGCUAGUUGGUGAGGUAACGGCUCACCAAGGCGAUGAUGCAUAGCCGACCUGAGAGGGUGAUCGGCCACACUGGGACUGAGACACGGCCCAGACUCCUACGGGAGGCGGCAGUAGGGAAUCUUCGGCAAUGGACGAAAGUCUGACCGAGCAACGCCGCGUGAGUGAAGAAGGUUUUCGGAUCGUAAAACUCUGUUGUUAGAGAAGAAUAAGUAGGAGAGUAACUGCUCUUACCUUGACGGUAUCUAACCAGAAAGCCACGGCUAACUACGUGCCAACAGCCGCGGUAAUACGUAGGUGGCAAGCGUUGUCCGGAUUUAUUGGGCGUAAAGCGAGCGCAGGCGGUUUCUUAACUCUGAUGUGAAAGCCCCCGGCUCAACCGGGGGAGGGUCAUUGGAAAACUGGGAACUUG